UACGUAUGGGGCGAGCGUUGUUCGAAUUUACUGGGCGUAAAGGGCUUGUAGGUGGUGGGAUAAGUCGGACGUGAAAUCCCCGGGCUUAACCCGGGAACUGCAUUCGAAACUAUCUCGCUAGAGUACCGGAGAGGGAAACGGAAUUCCUGGUGUAGGGGUGAAAUCUGUAGAUAUCAGGAAGAACACCGGUGGCGAAGGCGGUUUCCUGGCCGGAUACUGACACUGAGGAGCGAAAGCUAGGGGAGCAAACAGG
This 253-nucleotide ribosomal RNA is filed under the name uncultured bacterium. RNAcentral's name for it is "partial 16S ribosomal RNA". It matches the Rfam family "Bacterial small subunit ribosomal RNA", at positions 524 to 776 of the family's 1533-position model. The record is from RNAcentral.